AUUGAACGCUGGCGGCAGGCCUAACACAUGCAAGUCGAGCGGAAACGACAYUAACAAUCCUUCGGGUGCGUUAAUGGGCGUCGAGCGGCGGACGGGUGAGUAAUGCCUAGGAAAUUGCCUUGAUGUGGGGGAUAACCAUUGGAAACGAUGGCUAAUACCGCAURAUGCCUACGGGCCAAAGAGGGGGACCUUCGGGCCUCUCGCGUCAAGAUAUGCCUAGGUGGGAUUAGCUAGUUGGUGAGGUAAUGGCUCACCAAGGCGACGAUCCCUAGCUGGUCUGAGAGGAUGAUCAGCCACACUGGAACUGAGACACGGUCCAGACUCCUACGGGAGGCAGCAGUGGGGAAUAUUGCACAAUGGGCGCAAGCCUGAUGCAGCCAUGCCGCGUGUAUGAAGAAGGCCUUCGGGUUGUAAARUACUUUCAGUUGUGAGGAAGGGGGUGUUGUUAAUAGCA
Molecule: ribosomal RNA, 454 nt
Filed under: Vibrio kanaloae
Lineage: Bacteria; Pseudomonadati; Pseudomonadota; Gammaproteobacteria; Vibrionales; Vibrionaceae
Description: bacterial SSU rRNA
Rfam family: Bacterial small subunit ribosomal RNA
Source: RNAcentral